Beta vulgaris subsp. vulgaris (sugar beet) is the source of this 881-nucleotide long non-coding RNA. RefSeq lists it as uncharacterized. The record is from RefSeq and is a predicted model, not a curated record. The transcript is spliced from 3 exons. NCBI's taxonomy places the organism in Eukaryota, Viridiplantae, Streptophyta, Magnoliopsida, Caryophyllales, Amaranthaceae.
CUAGCAACAAAGACUUCAAUAUUAUGUGGUAAGCAAAGCAAAAUAAGAAAGAAGAAAAGAGAGAAGAAAAGGAGAAAAUCUUCUCCAUCUUCCACCUUCAUGUACAGGAAAGAUCAAGAGAAAAAAAUGAAAAACUUUCUUAGUCAUCCUACUCUACAUCACAAAAAUGGAAGGAAAUCAAACUAUUUUCUUGUUUCUCUUUCAUACUAAAAUAUCACGAAAUCAGUCCCAAAUUAUUAUGCAACCAAUUUUAGGAUUUUCCCACCGAUUUUGUGUAGGCAUGCAUUAAGUAUAAAUUGGAAUCCCUUAUUCCAAUUUAGGGUAUGCAAGUAUAGUCAGAAAAAAUAAGGAGAGUACUAUAAGGGAGUUUUGUGAAGCUGUAGUAGCGGAGUCGGGAGUUUAAUUGAGCGAGAAGUCUGCUGUUCACGGAGCUUUGAUAGGUCGGCAGAUACUCAUACAUGAACACAUGCUUACGACGUGAACCAUUGUUGUUUGAUCUAGAAAUUGAGCAGACAGCUAGAAAAACAAAGAAAAGAAUUCCUAGAAAAACAACGAGAAGAACGUCUUUAUAUUGAGAAUAAGUUUAAAGAUGAAGAAGAGAUGGGUGAUGAAAAACUUUGAACGAGCUAGCUGCACAUAAGCUGGAUGAUGAACCAUCGGACAUCGUUUUUCCAAUCCUUGGAAAAACCUCUAAAGUUAAACUCGAGUUUUGUCAACCUUUUACCAAAAUUCUAUGGCCAUAGAGUUCUAUAGCUCAUUGAAUUCAGUUUCCUAGUAUUGGAAGUUAUAAAUUACCAAGUUUGAAGACUCAACUGUCGACCAAGCUCUGAUAAUAAAGUGCACAUCUGAGUGUUGUUGAUUAAUUUCAUGGGUCUGCAGGA